RNAcentral lists this long non-coding RNA (1280 nucleotides) under Anser cygnoides (Swan goose). RNAcentral describes it as "lncRNA (ENSACDG00005013465.1)". Lineage: Eukaryota; Metazoa; Chordata; Aves; Anseriformes; Anatidae. The record is from RNAcentral.
AUGUGGCUUGUGGGGCAUUUCACUGGUUUCCUUCGUACUGUAUCUACACAGAAAGGACAGAAAGAGAGGAAGUCCGAAGAUAGACCACAGUGGAGAUUCCUGCUGAUCCUGGGAUUUUCUCUCUGUAGUGAACAAGUUACAAGGUCUCUUCCUCAGUGCAAAGCCAUUGAUACCUGGUUAUGCCACCCUGAACCUGAAGGAGCAAUGGGAGUCAGCAGUGCAGGGAAGUGAUGUAUUCUGCAGCCCUUCAGUGAGCUCAGAGAAAGACGAGCAUUUAAGAGGAACAGAUACUUGCUAAAGUACAUGCAUCCUGGAGCACCGAGAUAACUAGAGAAUAUUGGUCUCCUGGUGUGAACAUUAAUACAUCUUUGAACACGGGAGAAGCUCCAGAGACCAGAAUGCUGUGGAUCCUGGGGAACUGUCAUUCUUCAUCAGGAGCAGGAUCUUGGUUGGUAAAGUUGCCCUGUUAAUGUAACAUAAUAAGAGCUUAUGAAAUGUCUGCUCUGUAGUGUCAUUAUUACAAAAUGGGCACUGUGCGGUAGGAGUUAGAUCCCUUUCCAAGUGUGUCAGACCCUGAGACAUCUCCAAAAGCAGGGGGUUCUAACAGGACCCCAGAGGAACUGGUGUAGUGGUCUCCGCUACUCUGCAUUUGUACCAGUGAUCUGCAAGUAAGUAUAAAAUUACCCUAAAAACAUGUACCAUACAUGUACCAUAAAGAAUUUGGGAUGGUGACUAAGAGACCACGCCAGUGACACCAGCAGGGAUUUCUUUUCAAGCUAGAUGCACUUAACACAACCAAACAAGUUUAUUCAUCUCGAAUCAAAGACUGCAUGCAAAUUUUUAACGAUGAAAGCAGCAGCCCUGGGAAGGAUUUAAGAACCACUAAGGCCAUGCAUCUGCACUCAGGCACCCGGUGUAGUGAUGUGGGAAGAAAAGCCAGUGAGAUCCUUGGGUAUAUAAACAACUACUGUGUAGAAAGCUGGGGGAGGAAAAUGAUCUUAUCUCCCUAGUUCACCUUUUUGGGGCCAAGGAUGAAAUAGUUCUUAUACUUCUGAUGUUGAUAAAUUGGACACAGAGCAAAAAAGAGCUGGCAAUUAACUGGUGGGAAGAAGGAAGGGACUAGAAGAGGCCAGUCAGCUUUCCUUAUGCAAAGGUAGUUGCAAAACUAGAUUGCAAAGUGUAAAUACCUAGGGAGAAAAUGGGCUUUCCACAUUACCAGAGAAAAACACAGCAGGCACUCAUGGUUGGGAAUAAAGCCAAGCAAACUGAAAUUAAAAACA